Molecule: ribosomal RNA, 254 nt
Filed under: uncultured bacterium
Lineage: Bacteria
Description: partial 16S ribosomal RNA
Rfam family: Bacterial small subunit ribosomal RNA
Source: RNAcentral
CACGUAGGGGGCAAGCGUUGUCCGGAUUUAUUGGGCGUAAAGAGCUCGUAGGCGGUUCGGUAAGUCGGGUGUGAAACCUCCAGGCUCAACCUGGAGACGCCACCCGAUACUGCUGUGACUAGAGUCCGGUAGGGGAGCGUGGAAUUCCUGGUGUAGCGGUGAAAUGCGCAGAUAUCAGGAGGAACACCGGUGGCGAAGGCGGAUCUCUGGGCCAUUACUGACGCUGAGGAGCGAAAGCGUGGGGAGCGAACAGG